UGGGGAAUUUUGGACAAUGGGCGAAAGCCUGAUCCAGCCAUGCCGCGUGAGUGAAGAAGGCCUUCAGGUUGUAAAGCUCUUUUAGUCGGAAAGAAAGAGUUGCAAUGAAUAAUUGUGAUUUAUGACGGUACCGACAGAAAAAGCACCGGCUAACUACGUGCCAGCAGCCGCGGUAAUACGUAGGGUGCGAGCGUUAAUCGGAAUUACUGGGCGUAAAGGGUGCGCAGGCGGUCUUGCAAGUCAGAUGUGAAAGCCCCGGGCUUAACCUGGGAAUUGCGUUUGAAACUACAAGGCUAGAGUGCAGCAGAGGGGAGUGGAAUUCCAUGUGUAGCAGUGAAAUGCGUAGAGAUGUGGAAGAACACCGAUGGCGAAGGCAGCUCCCUGGGUUGACACUGACGCUCAUGCACGAAAGCGUGGGGAGCAAACA
This 427-nucleotide ribosomal RNA is filed under the name uncultured beta proteobacterium. RNAcentral's name for it is "bacterial SSU rRNA". It matches the Rfam family "Bacterial small subunit ribosomal RNA", at positions 355 to 774 of the family's 1533-position model. The record is from RNAcentral. Lineage: Bacteria; Pseudomonadati; Pseudomonadota; Betaproteobacteria.